GAUGAACGCUGGCGGCGUGCCUAAUACAUGCAAGUCGAGCGAACAGAUGAGGAGCUUGCUCCUCUGACGUUAGCGGCGGACGGGUGAGUAACACGUGGAUAACCUACCUAUAAGACUGGGAUAACUUCGGGAAACCGGAGCUAAUACCGGAUAAUAUAUUGAACCGCAUGGUUCAAUAGUGAAAGACGGUUUUGCUGUCACUUAUAGAUGGAUCCGCGCCGCAUUAGCUAGUUGGUAAGGUAACGGCUUACCAAGGCAACGAUGCGUAGCCGACCUGAGAGGGUGAUCGGCCACACUGGAACUGAGACACGGUCCAGACUCCUACGGGAGGCAGCAGUAGGGAAUCUUCCGCAAUGGGCGAAAGCCUGACGGAGCAACGCCGCGCGAGUGAUGAAGGUCUUCGGAUCGUAAAACUCUGUUAUUAGGGAAGAACAAAUGUGUAAGUAACUAUGCACGUCUGGACGGUACCUAAUCAGAAAGCCACGGCUAACUACGU
Molecule: ribosomal RNA, 496 nt
Filed under: uncultured bacterium
Lineage: Bacteria
Description: partial 16S ribosomal RNA
Rfam family: Bacterial small subunit ribosomal RNA
Source: RNAcentral